AGUGGGAGAGAGAAGACACCAGAAGAGGAAGCAAGCUAUGAGAACUGGCGCUCACGGGAGAGCAGGAGCACCCACAAAGGAGCCCAGGAAAAAGACUGGAGAGAACCUGAGAAGGACCAAAAGCCACUGGGCCCCAGGACUCCUGUGUCAAAGAGUGGAAUCUCUCUUGGACCAUCACAAACGCCCCGGGAGGAGGGCAGGGGCCCUUCACCAUCUCUGCUUGGAAGCGCGUCAUCACGUCAAGUAAUACAUCAUCAGAAAGACGCAUGUGCCACAUCCUGAGGAAUUAUGGAGUGUUCUAAGGCGGAUGAUCAUCUCUAAUCCAGCAUGCAAUUACCUUACAGUCAAAGACCAUCAGUCAUGGCCAGUUUCCCCAAUCAGGGUGUGAGACACUGCCCAUGAACAGAGAGAGACACGCCCUGCCCUGAAGAAUUUACAGUCUGAAGCCCCAACUCUACAAACACAACUCUGCAUGGACCCAGGCCUCCAAUCAUAUUGAUCUAAUUGCAGGAUCAGUAUCUUCUGUUGGAGACCAAUGGAUCACUACAGUUUCUCAUUUGCCAAUGAAUACUUCCCCAGAUGUGCUUUUCUCCAAAUGCUCCUGUGUCCUAAAUCUCACUACAAGUUUCAGAUAAAUCUCAUUUGAAGUUUCUCAAAUGAUUGACAACUCAGCUAUUUUUCAUAUGUGGUACACACACAAAAAGGUACAAAAACUUUUUAAAAAAAAUUAACACCUCCCCCCUUCCCUGAGUUUCAUCUCAACAAAAUACCAUGUACGAAUGAGUUCAAAUCUGGGCAAAAUAAAUUUCUUCAGUAGCCGCAGGACAGGCAAACUUUGAUGGAAAAAAGUGACCUUUCUGAAGACUUUUUGGAU
Long non-coding RNA from Mauremys reevesii (Reeves's turtle), 874 nucleotides. RefSeq lists it as uncharacterized. The record is from RefSeq and is a predicted model, not a curated record. The transcript is spliced from 4 exons. NCBI's taxonomy places the organism in Eukaryota, Metazoa, Chordata, Testudines, Geoemydidae.